RNAcentral lists this non-coding RNA (277 nucleotides) under Sporosarcina sp. RNAcentral's name for it is "T-box sequence". It matches the Rfam family "T-box leader". Rfam says of the family: Uncharged tRNA acts as the effector for transcription antitermination of genes in the T-box leader family. T-boxes are found upstream of many aminoacyl-tRNA synthetase genes and some amino acid biosynthetic genes usually in Gram-positive bacteria. The record is from RNAcentral. Lineage: Bacteria; Bacillati; Bacillota; Bacilli; Caryophanales; Caryophanaceae.
GUAAAUGCAUAGAAGAGGAUAAUAAUUGAUUGAUUCAUCUUACCAGAGAACAAGGUCAAUGGCUGGAAACCUUGAGGAAUGAAUGAUCGAUUUACCACCUCUGAGCAGCAUCAGUGAACAGUAGUAGUUGAUGCCGGUAACGGUCCGUUAGCCGCAAUCGAGCUUCGUCUUUCCGAUGCUUUUUUGUCUAGCACUAGCGUCUAGACGCUACCGCUUUUCGGGAGCAUUCGGACAGAAGGAAGAAGGGUGGAACCACGAGCACAGCCUCGUCCCUUUU